AAUAGCUCGUACUCCCCGAAAUGUUUUUAGGAACAGCGUCGUGGUUGAGUCAUGGUCAGGUAGAGCUACUGAUAGGGCUAGGGGGAGUCAAAUCCUACCAAACUCUGACAAACUCCGAAUGGGCUAUGAUAUACACGGCAGUGAGGGCCGGGGUGCUAAGGUCCCGGUCCGAGAGGGGAACAACCCAGAGCAUCAGCUAAGGUCCCAAAAUAUAUGCUAAGUUGAACUAAGGGGGUCCGACUGCAGAGACAGCCAGGAUGUUAGCUUGGAAGCAG
RNAcentral lists this ribosomal RNA (275 nucleotides) under Foraminifera environmental sample. RNAcentral describes it as "partial Bacterial large subunit ribosomal RNA". It matches the Rfam family "Bacterial large subunit ribosomal RNA", at positions 844 to 1115 of the family's 2925-position model. The record is from RNAcentral. Lineage: Eukaryota; Foraminifera.